Molecule: ribosomal RNA, 254 nt
Filed under: uncultured bacterium
Lineage: Bacteria
Description: partial small subunit ribosomal RNA
Rfam family: Bacterial small subunit ribosomal RNA
Source: RNAcentral
AGGACGAACGCUGGCGGCGUGCUUAACACAUGCAAGUCGAGCGGAAAGGCCCUUCGGGGUACUCGAGCGGCGAACGGGUGAGUAACACGUGAGUAAUCUGCCCCUAGCUCUGGGAUAGCUCCGGGAAACCGGGAUUAAUACCAGAUACGACCACUUUAGACAUCUGUUGUGGUGGAAAGAAUUUUGGCUAGGGAUGAGCUCGCGGCCUAUCAGCCUGUUGGUGAGGUAACGGCUCACCAAGGCGACGACGGGUA